GACGAACGCUGGCGGCGUGCUUAACACAUGCAAGUCGAGCGGUAAGGCCCUUUCGGGGGUACACGAGCGGCGAACGGGUGAGUAACACGUGGGUGACCUGCCCUCAGCUCUGGGAUAAGCCUGGGAAACUGGGUCUAAUACCGGAUAUGACUCCAUGACGCAUGUUGUGGGGUGGAAAGCCUUGUGCGGCUGAGGAUGGGCCCGCGGCCUAUCAGCUUGUUGGGGGGGUGA
Molecule: ribosomal RNA, 231 nt
Filed under: uncultured bacterium
Lineage: Bacteria
Description: partial 16S ribosomal RNA
Rfam family: Bacterial small subunit ribosomal RNA
Source: RNAcentral